Long non-coding RNA from Gallus gallus (chicken), 6477 nucleotides. Lineage: Eukaryota; Metazoa; Chordata; Aves; Galliformes; Phasianidae. The record is from Ensembl.
CUCCUAAUGUUUCUUUAUUAACUUUCAGACUUCUGAUGAUGCACGUAUUGUCUUCACAAACACAGUACGAAGUAAUUUCUCGACUGUGCUCGCAAGAACCUUUAUCAGUACAAUAUUUGUUUGCCAAUAAUCUUCUAGUUACGUGGAAUAAGGGCCUAAUGGGGAGAACAAGAUCGCUGUUGACAUCAGGUAAUUUUUUUCCUAAGUGGUGCUAUUGGACCGUUCUGCUUAAAGAUUUCCAAGGAGAGCCAGCCAAGUGAAGUCUAGUGAUAUUUCUGACCAAAGAGUGCCGUUCCAGCUGAGCCCAUCUGGAUCUACCUGUCCAUCACCCACGGACAGCUGACGUUGUCCAGGGCAGACACAGGGUUUUCAGGCUUGGACUGUCUCAGUCCCACAUCUGCUGUCUGACUCUACCCUGCACCUCCUGUCUGGCUUUGAGCAAAUGGCUUCAUCUUGCUGUGCAUCAUCUGCGGUAAUGAGGAGCGAGGCUAACAGGGUUUGCUUCGGUCUGUUUCAGACUGCCACAAAUUUUCUGUAAAUCUUCCAGGAUCCUGUAGAUCAAAGUCUCACAGUCAGAGAGUUCUUGAAUUGCUGCAGGGAGCAUGAUGAACACUGGACAGACGCAUCCCCUCAGGGGAGGACAGACAAGUCCUAAGCCGGCCAUAAAGGCUCCUCCUCAUGAACUGAGUAGAAUUGGGCUUUUAAUUUAUGGCUUUGCUGAAUGGGGCUCUGGAACAAACUCAGCUUCAUGUAUCAUCUGGCAAAUGAAAACAACAGAAGCACAGACCUACCCUAAUCCAAUUCAGCACUGGGGUAAGGAAGGAUGCUAUGGCACCAUAGCAAGGAGGGCAUAUUCCAUAGUGACCACUACUAAGAGAGUAUUGUUUGAGCCAGCUUGUUCAGAAAGAAAGAGUGGAAAAGAGGGAAAUUACUACUGAAUGCCAAAUCUACAAAUAACAGUAACAGAUACAGUACCGGAUCAAUAGCCCUGCAUCUCUCUUUGCAGGGCCAGAAUUGCUUCUGAUCUGUCUGCUCACAGCAGAACUGUUCCAGUUUUGUCAUGAAGAGCAAAGCUUGUACUAAUCAUACUCUGUAAUAGCCACAGCGGUUGUCCCUGGGUCUGCCAUUCACCAAAAUUUAAUCUUGAUUGCUGAGAAUUUUCAUUGCAUGUAGAAAGUUGUUCCACAUGAGAGCAAGCACUGACAAACAAAACAAAACAAAAAAAACCCUAUACUUCUUUAUAAUAUAUAUUAAUAAAUAUGUGUGUGUGUGUGUGUGUAUACAUGCUAAAGUAUCUUCUAGUAUAUCUUUUAGCACCCUAAUAUUUCAUAGUCUAAUACAUAGCAGUAACCUUUCCCAUACAGGAUGUGACCAGCAAAUGUAUUGGCGUUGCUGGUAAGAACUCUGAAAUGUAACUGCAGUUGGAAGAGUUUGUAAAAACCCAAUGGUAUGAAACAAAAAUUUUCAGGCUUAAACCCCAUAAAUUUCUUUCGUUGUUCUUUUUGCUGAGUGUACCCACCUAUAUGACUGACAGUAUAUGUGAUUAGGAGUUAAUUCUCAGACAUAAUGUUCAUAUCUCUUUGUGAAUGGUACUGAGUUCUUACAAAUCUUUUGAUUUGGAGAGGGAGAAAAUGAACUAUGGUGUAGCUAUACCCAUGCAAGUUGCUGCAGGCUGUCUGCAGGCUCAGGCCACUGCUGUCCUCAAAUGACUUUGAACCAGCCUGUCUACAAAAACAAAGUUAGUGUUCCACUGCAAGUCCUCUCAGUAGCAGAUACUCCUGCUUUGGCUUCAGGACAAGUUGCGUCUUGUGUCUCUGGUGUACAUGAUGUAUUGGUUUGCAUACAUAGGUGUUAGAGCUCUUUCUUGAAAAAAAAAAUAGCUCCUCUGUAGGGCCUCACAGAGCUCUGUGGUAACCUUCUGGUGACCUUUUGUUUCUAAACAAGUGUUUUUGUGUAUGGAUGCAGUUUUUUUUUUUUUUUUUAAGAAGCAUAUGCAAGUCUGAUGAUUUGCAAUUUCUUUUAUUAGCCUUGUACUAACCAUGACGGAAUGACCGGAAAUAAAGGACAUACAGUUCACACUGUAUCUUAUAGUUCCAUUAAGUAGACAAUGGGGAAGCAAUUUGAAGUAAGUGAUUUGUAAGGCAGUUAAUUUAAAACAUAAUUUCUUAGACAGCUUGGUGAAAUUCACCAGUAUGUUUUUAAAGAAAAAAAACAAACAUCAACAGCAACAAAAAUACAACUUGAUGAUGCUUUGAAGUUUGGUUCUUACCACAGUUUGAGUAGAUUAAAAUUUAAAUCUACUGUAAUCCCAAAAACUUGAGUGUAUUUGUGCACAUGUUGUGAAGGGGCAUGAUUUCUUUACGUGUGUACUCUUAUGGAUUAGCAUGUACAGGCACAACCCAGCCCGAUGUUCCUGUGUGACUAAUGAGUAUAGCCUCCUGACCUGUUUCAAUGACUGGGAGCUACCAGGCCUUCCUGUGCACAAACCAUGAUCAAAACUGAAGCUACAAGUUUGUGAUGCAUUUGGUUGACAGCUUACUGGUAGAGCAACCAGCUCUAAUUGCAUUCCGGUUACUCCUGAGUGCUCCUUUUCAAUCUAUCUAUCACGAUGCUGCCAAAGACAGAAAUAAGCUACAGAACUGCACAACGGCAGCAGUAUGUAUUUGAUAUUCUGACCCUUGCUUCCCCUUGCAGCCCUCCAUGGUACUCCCAAGUUCAAUCACCUGAUGUAGCACUUGAUCCUUAGCUCCUUUCCCCCACAGAUAAACACUGAAGCGGUAAUUCCUGCUGCAGGAAUGUUCUUUCAUAAAUGCUUUUGAAGUGAGGAAACCUGAUCUCUUUUAAGAUAAUAUAUUAUUAGUUAGAUUUCAUUGGAAGAGGAUCCUCUAUAAACCCUGCCUAUUGUUUUCUCUCCAGACUAAAAGUUCAGUCAACUGAAACCUCAGUCCUUGGGAGUGCUGGUGAUACUUUUAAUCAUAAGUGGAAUAUUUAGAAAACUUUUCUUUCGUCUAAUAAGACCAUCCCCUUCUCUGUCAGCUCAGCUGACUUAUGACACUUUCACAACUUGGAAAUAACCUCAUGAUCUGCUGAUUUCUCUGUCAUGUCUUCUAGUAUUUGGUCUAAAUUAUCACUAGAUUAAUUAUCACUAAAUUAUCACUAUCACAAGAAAAUCUAACUAAAGCUUAUUUUGCUGAAGUCUGUGGUUUUUACUUUCAUAUAAAGUUGAAGGUGUCAGAACUAAUGUUUUUGAUGGUUCAGUAUUUACUUUAGUCCUGACCCAUGUAGUUCAUUAAGACUAGCUGAAAUAUAAAUGCUAUAGUUUACUGCAGCUAUAGUGUGGUUUUUUGAAUUUUUUUUAACCUAUAAGAAAGGUAUCUAACUAUCAACAGACAGUUUUCACAUUUGUUUUGAUCAAGAAGAGUUUCCAUGCAAUAACAUUAUUUUUUUGCCCUGUGAAAUUGACCUGUUCUGUCUUGCUACUCCAUAGGUCUAUGGUCAACAAAGGGAGUACAGUUGGACUGAUUAAAACUAUACUGACUGAUUACAACUAUACUAACUAUACUAUAAAACUAUACUGAAGGUAUUUAUAUCCCAGUACCUGGGCCGGAGCAUCAAACAUUCCCCCAGAACAUAUGCAGUACCCACCCACCACAACUUCUAUGGUUGUAACCGGGUAGGCGGGCAAUUAUGCUGAAAUUGAGACAUCUGACCCGAUGCAAAUGUGGACUAUCCUACCAUAAAAACCUUCCCAUACUGAAGAUAGAAUGAUACAGAAACAACCCUAAACACCAAAAUUCACAAUUGCAGCCGAUUCUCUUACAGAAUGUAUAGCAGAAGUUCUAAAAGCUUAAACAUGGCUACUAUCAAAAACUUUGCAAAGGAGAAUCUGACUCCUACAUCACUGCAAGUUUAUAGGUUAUGUCUUUUUUUUUUAAUGACAGAAGAAGAGUCUUGUUGAAGGGAAAAGGCUUUUAGAGGAGAUGUAUAACCACAGAGAUAUUAAGUAAAGUUUCAAGUCUCCUUAUGGGCCUAAGCUGAAAAAGUGAACUCAGGAGGUAUUAAAAAGAACUUCUGUUGAGGUCUCUGUUGUUUGGAAACAUUUUGCUCUCAAAUCUGUGCAGUGUAAAUUGCUUAUGAGGCUUUGUGGGCAGAUCUCAGCUGUUUAUUUUGCACACUGCUAAAUAUGAACUCUCAAGCCUUAGUAAAUCUACUUGCAAAUGUGCUUCGGAAACAUUUGUAAUUUUUUUCCUCUAAAUCUCCAUGUAAAAAGAAUUUCCAGACACAAACAACUGUCAGAGAAAAACAACUGUGAUUUGUUGGGGUGUGAAACUAGAGAGUGCCUAAAUUAUUUGCCUUUAUUAGAAAGCAUGUUGGCAAACAGACUGCACCUUUUAUGACCUCAGGAAGAAAUCUGCUUUAUUUCAUGCACAGUUAGCAGCUUACAGGAGAUAGUCUGCACAUCUCACCGACAGCUUUGGCAUUUGAUACAGGUUUUGCUUCAGACUGGGGGACAGAAGUGAAUUACACUACCACAAGAAUCAAUUUACACUUCACUCUUCUGAAAACUUCAGUGUCAGUGUCAUGUACAGAACAAUACCAGACCAGAGACAGUCGCUCAUUUUCCAUUUAUGAGCAACCAGAAUGAAGUUUCAUUCAUUUUGGACUUAAGCCAGUAGAAAAGAGCCUCUACAGUUGUUCACUGACAGUAUUCUCCAAGACUUUUUGGCUUGUGUAGGGCAAUGGUACUAAGCCAAAUGGUGAGAUUUCAAUUUGCUGGAUCCCACUGAAUGGCAGAAUGGGCUAGCUAGCUCAGGGCCUACUCACGCCUAUGCACUAAAGCAUUACAGAAGCAGCAGACUCUUCCCUGAAUAGACCAAAUGACCAGAUGAGAUUCAGCUGAGUCAUGAGGGAAGUCUAAACCACAGAAGUUCAUUCUCUUCAUUCAAAAGAGACGACUAAAAUAAAAAGGCCCCACUUCCAUCAUAGAAGCCUGGUUGCUACGCACAGUCCAUCAGAAACAAAAGCUCUACAACGCCCUAUGUAAUUAAUACUGUUGCAGCAGGUCGAUCUGUCACUCACAGAGUAUACUCCACUGUGGGGAGAAGCAGCAGCAAAGCAAACUUCAUCUGUCCCACAGAAGACAUUACCAAUAAACAGCAGCAGUUGCGAAAACCAGUGAGUGCCUACGUGGAUUUUGCCCAGCAAUUUGUAUAAUUGCCUGCUGAGCAGACGAAAUUAUUUUGCUUGGCUUCUGUGAGUCACGGAGCUGAUCCCUACCAUUUUCUGGAGCUCACCUGGCUAGAUGGUUAUGUCCUGGUCCUAUAAUCAAACCUAUAAAGGAAGUAUAUGGCCUGUCUUCAGGAUCAAGGAAGAUCAAGGCUGUAGUAUAAGGGUGGGGCAAACCUGAGAAUGCUUAUUAAAGGAAGAGCUGGCAAUGAUGCCUUCUGUUGAGGUCAUCCUGAGUUUUCUUAUGUUUCAAGCAUUAACACGAUGGCUUCUUUUACAUCUGUCUUUCUUCCAUGCUCUCUUAUUUUUAGAGUAAGAAGAGGUGAAAAGGUCCCAGGAUUCUAAAUGUUCAAACUUGCGACUGUCACCUCUUUUUCUUGCUCUCACGCUGAAGUCACAUCCUAAGAGAUUUCAAGAAUCUGUCAUAGGAUCAUAGAGUGGCCUGGGUUGGAAAGGACCACAAAGAUCAUGUAGUUUCAACCCACUGCUAUGCACAGGGUCGCCAACCACUAGACCAGGCUGCCCAGAGCCACAUCCAGCCUGGCCUUGAAUGCCUCCAGGGAUGGGGCAUCCACCAGUCAAUAAACUGGUACCCUGAAUCUGUAUUUCCUGUGGCUAUAAGGUACACUUUGGUUCCUAUGUUCCUUCAAGUGCUUGGUUGAAAUAAAACCGCUCUUCUCCUCGCACCAGAAGACGCAUUGGAUCCACUCAAAGUAUGACAUGUUUAUCCUGACAAAAUAACCGUGGCUGAGGCAGGACCCUUAGCACCCUAAGGCGCCCGUGGCUCCCACCUGGCUGCAGCCGCCAUACAGUUGGCCCGGCAGCGCCCUGCGCCUCCGGGAGCCAGGCCAGGUUUCUAGGAAAGAAAACAAAACGUUUUGCUCAGCCGGGUUCUGAGAGCCCGGCCAAACAUGUACACGCACAGGCGCUGGGCGGUAACGCCACAAGGCACGCUCGGAGCAGGCCGGCAGAGGCGCAGCGCUACACCAGCUCCGGUGUGAGCCGUAGGGGGUGUUCGGGCACAAAGCCGCACAGAGACCCCGACGCCACACGCGCUUUCUGUCGACCCGACCGCGGCCACCGCCGCGCACGCGCCUCGGGUGUGAGUCGAUGAGGAGGGGCGGGGGGGGGAAUGCAGGGAAAGCACGCGACAUCCGGGCAUUUCGCCCUGCCCCGUGGCCACGCCCCUCCAGAGCCGAGAAGGAGCCGUCUCUUCGCCUCGCGCGCGCGUGCCCGCCCGCCUCCCGCGCG